AACAGAACGGAAAACCGUAAG
Molecule: small nuclear RNA, 21 nt
Filed under: Arabidopsis thaliana (thale cress)
Lineage: Eukaryota; Viridiplantae; Streptophyta; Magnoliopsida; Brassicales; Brassicaceae
Description: snRNA_05183
Source: RNAcentral